ACUGUUGACGUGGACGUGUGUCAAACAGUUUUGGAACGACACAGAGCAAAGCUUGUCCGUCGACCGCUUGGUAAAUCCGCUAUUCUGGAAUGUGAAAAAAGGCGUUCUUCCACACUUUCCCAGCAAACAGCGAAGUUUCUAGAGUCCAGUCCAGCAUGGCUGUGCGGUC
Molecule: long non-coding RNA, 169 nt
Organism: Carassius auratus (goldfish)
Lineage: Eukaryota; Metazoa; Chordata; Actinopteri; Cypriniformes; Cyprinidae
Exons: 3
Source: RefSeq, a predicted model, not a curated record